This 450-nucleotide ribosomal RNA is filed under the name uncultured bacterium. Its description in RNAcentral is "bacterial SSU rRNA". It matches the Rfam family "Bacterial small subunit ribosomal RNA", at positions 28 to 478 of the family's 1533-position model. The record is from RNAcentral.
GAUGAACGCUGGCGGCGUGCCUAACACAUGCAAGUCGAGCGAAGCACUUUGCUUAGAUUCUUCGGAUGAAGAGGAUUGUGACUGAGCGGCGGACGGGUGAGUAACGCGUGGGUAACCUGCCUCAUACAGGGGGAUAACAGUUAGAAAUGACUGCUAAUACCGCAUAAGACCACAGCACCGCAUGGUGCGGGGGUAAAAACUCCGGUGGUAUGAGAUGGACCCGCGUCUGAUUAGCUAGUUGGUAAGGUAACGGCUUACCAAGGCGACGAUCAGUAGCCGACCUGGGAGGGUGACCGGCCACAUUGGGACUGAGACACGGCCCAAACUCCUACGGGAGGCAGCAGUGGGGAAUAUUGCACAAUGGGGGAAACCCUGAUGCAGCGACGCCGCGUGAGCGAAGAAGUAUUUCGGUAUGUAAAGCUCUAUCAGCAGGGAAGAAAAUGACGGUAC